This 623-nucleotide ribosomal RNA is filed under the name uncultured bacterium. RNAcentral describes it as "bacterial SSU rRNA". The stretch from base 1 to 542 matches the Rfam family "Bacterial small subunit ribosomal RNA", at positions 338 to 873 of the family's 1533-position model. The record is from RNAcentral.
CCUACGGGAGGCAGCAGUGGGGAAUUUUGGACAAUGGGCGCAAGCCUGAUCCAGCCAUGCCGCGUGCGGGAAGAAGGCCUUCGGGUUGUAAACCGCUUUUGUCAGGGAAGAAACGCUCUGGGCUAAUACCCUGGGGUAAUGACGGUACCUGAAGAAUAAGCACCGGCUAACUACGUGCCAGCAGCCGCGGUAAUACGUAGGGUGCAAGCGUUAAUCGGAAUUACUGGGCGUAAAGCGUGCGCAGGCGGUCUUGCAAGACAGAUGUGAAAUCCCCGGGCUCAACCUGGGAACUGCAUUUGUGACUGCAAGGCUAGAGUACGGUAGAGGGGGAUGGAAUUCCGCGUGUAGCAGUGAAAUGCGUAGAUAUGCGGAGGAACACCGAUGGCGAAGGCAAUCCCCUGGACCUGUACUGACGCUCAUGCACGAAAGCGUGGGGAGCAAACAGGAUUAGAUACCCUGGUAGUCCACGCCCUAAACGAUGUCAACUGGUUGUUGGGAAGGUUCCUUCUCAGUAACGUAGCUAACGCGUGAAGUUGACCGCCUGGGGAGGUACGGCCGCGAGUAGAACGUACGAAGAAGUAGUAGACGNGAGAGAGCGACGACGACGACGACGGAGGAGGAGG